CGGUGGCGCAGGAUUCCGGCUUAGGGCUGUGCACUGUCCCAGGAGUCGGGGAGAAGGAUGGCACUCACAAGGUGUAGUUGGAUACAGCCGCUCGCGGGGUUCCCCGGGCAGACCCACCCUUGAGAGCACCUAAGUGUGCACCCACUUCAGCUCACGUCCGCUGCCCCUCACACGGAAACUCCUACCCAAACGGCACACGUUUGCACCCACACUCAGUAUUACUAACACGCUUCCACACGCACACGCACCCACACACACGUACACUUGCGCUCACAAAUAUGCCAGUGUACAUGGCAAGCGCGCAUACAGCACUGUACAAACCCACAUACACUCAAAAAACAAAACAUCUCCCUGUGCACUAAAUCCUCACAUUCAGGUACACAUACAAACACAUCCUUCCACGUCCUCUUCCAUACCCCUUCCCCUCGACCCCCCUACUCAUGAUCUGCGGUACCCUCAGUCCCAAAUCAUAAUCAGCGCCCGCGCAGCCCGGGAUGGACACAAACACGCGCGCACGCGCGCACUCCCCUCCCCGCGCCAGCUGGGGAGGCUUCGGGCCGGGCGCCGGCUUCAGAUUCCAGGUGUAGUGGCGGUUCCGCGCUCCGCGUUUUCCAAUCCGCCGCUGUGUUGGAGGCGAGGCGAGGAAGGGAGCUGGAAUAACAAAGGCAAGUUGGGGAGAGCGCAAGGGGGCGCAGCCCCGGCCGGGCCGCGGGGGGAGCCUUGCUCUGCCGGGGCUUUAGAGGCUGCUGGGUCUCGGGCGCCAGGAGCCGGAGCCCGGGAGCCGGGAUGGGGGUCGAGGGGCGGGGCCUCUGCGUGACGUCAGAGAACAAUGACACCGCCGCUGGGGGCGGGGUGGGGGGGAGGCGGCACCCGGAGAGAGCAGAGGCGGGGGUCUCCCCGGGGGCUUGAGACUAGCGGAAGACGUACUGGCCCGGCUAGGGCCGCUGCCUGAUUGACGAGGCCCGCUUGGGAGAGCGGACGUGCCACGCAGAUUCGAGGAUGGCCCCAGGCCUCCCGAGCAGGGAUCAGCGUAGACCCUGGGCCAACGAGGGAGCAGGCCGGAGUACCAUCCCCCUCAACCCUCUUUUUAGAACAUCCUUCAGAGGGCUUCUCUGACCUCGGCUUGAACUCCUUCAGGGCCGGCGAGAUCAUUCCUUCCACCACCGGAGGGAGAAGAGGCAAAAUGAAUUUGCCAGCCCUGAAUUCAUUCUCAAGGCUACGCUAUUCUGACAGCCAGCAAACUCAGCCUGGAUUCCUGAGAGCUCAGAGGACUGCAGCUCAGGGGAGUGACUGAAGAGGACACAGGAGCCAAGCUCAGCACACAAAGAGGGCCCAGCUCUCUAUAGCAUGGAGCCAGCGGUAAUCUCAGCUCUUCCCAGCUGGGCAAGCAUGACAUUUGAUGGCAGCAACUCUAAGAAAUCUCACCUCAGUCUUGAGUCUACCCUAGUCUCCUGAGGACCCUGGGCUCCAGUUCUUGAGACUCAGACACUUGCUGUCCCUAUUCCAAUUUCGAGAAAUAAUAAGGCAUGUUGGAUCCAUAUGGGCUCUUGGAAGAUGCUGUGACUUAGUAUGUGCCUACUGUGUGCUGGGUAGCGUGCUGAGGGCCUCUGAGGCAUGAAUUCAUUGAAUUCUCACAUUGCCUUGAGUUAGGCGCUAUUAAACUGCACUGUGACGGA
Long non-coding RNA from Bubalus bubalis (water buffalo), 1676 nucleotides. RefSeq lists it as uncharacterized. The transcript has 2 exons. The record is from RefSeq and is a predicted model, not a curated record. NCBI's taxonomy places the organism in Eukaryota, Metazoa, Chordata, Mammalia, Artiodactyla, Bovidae.